AUUGAACGCUGGCGGCAGGCCUAACACAUGCGAGUCGAGCGGAUGAAGGGAGCUUGCUCCUGGAUUCAGCGGCGGACGGGUGAGUAAUGCCUAGGAAUCUGCCUGGUAGUGGGGGAUAACGUCCGGAAACGGGCGCUAAUACCGCAUACGUCCUGAGGGAGAAAGUGGGGGAUCUUCGGACCUCACGCUAUCAGAUGAGCCUAGGUCGGAUUAGCUAGUUGGUGGGGUAAAGGCCUACCAAGGCGACGAUCCGUAACUGGUCUGAGAGGAUGAUCAGUCACACUGGGACUGAGACACGGUCCAGACUCCUACGGGAGGCAGCAGUGGGGAAUAUUGGACAAUAGGCGAAAGCCUGAUCCAGCCAUGCCGCGUGUGUGAAGAAGGUCUUCGGAUUGUAAAGCACUUUAAGUUGGGAGGAAGGGCAGUAAGUUAAUACCUUGCUGUUUUGACGUUACCAACAGAAUAAGCACCGGCUAACUUCGUG
RNAcentral lists this ribosomal RNA (484 nucleotides) under uncultured bacterium. RNAcentral's name for it is "partial 16S ribosomal RNA". It matches the Rfam family "Bacterial small subunit ribosomal RNA", at positions 30 to 507 of the family's 1533-position model. The record is from RNAcentral.